CCUACGGGGGGCAGCAGUGAGGAAUAUUGGUCAAUGGGCGAGAGCCUGAACCAGCCAAGUCGCGUGAGGGAGUACUGCCCUAUGGGUUGUAAACCUUUUUUGUCGGGGAGCAAAAGCCGGACGUGUCCGGCUGUGAGAGUACCCGAAGAAAAAGCAUCGGCUAACUCCGUGCCAGCAGCCGCGGUAAUACGGAGGAUGCGAUCGUUAUCCGGAUUUAUUGGGUUUAAAGGGUGCGCAGGCGGAUUUUUAAGUCAGCGGUAAAAUCGUGGGGCUCAACCCCAUCCAGCCGUUGAAACUGGGGAUCUAGAGUGUGCGAGAGGUAUGCGGAAUGCGUGGUGUAGCGGUGAAAUGCAUAGAUAUCACGCAGAACCCCGAUUGCGAAGGCAGCAUACCGGUGCACAACUGACGCUCAGGCACGAAAGCGUGGGUAUCGAACAGGAUUAGAUACCCCUGUAGUC
Molecule: ribosomal RNA, 458 nt
Filed under: uncultured bacterium
Lineage: Bacteria
Description: partial 16S ribosomal RNA
Rfam family: Bacterial small subunit ribosomal RNA
Source: RNAcentral